UUCCUGAAACUUGAGCAAAGAUUUGGGUGA
This 30-nucleotide non-coding RNA is filed under the name Mus musculus (house mouse). Lineage: Eukaryota; Metazoa; Chordata; Mammalia; Rodentia; Muridae. The record is from RNAcentral.